UAGCAUUGGAGGAGCCGGUGCCUGAUGACCGCUAUCACGCCAUCUACUUUGCGAUGCUGCUGUCUGGCGUGGGCUUCCUGCUGCCAUACAACAGCUUCAUCACGGACGUGGACUACCUGCAUCACAAGUACCCAGGGACCUCCAUUGUGUUUGACGUGAGCCUCACCUACAUCUUGGUGGCGCUGGCAGCCGUGCUCCUGAACAACGUCCUGGUGGAGAGACUGACCCUGCACACCAGGAUCACCGCAAGCUACCUCUUAGCCUUGGGCCCUCUCCUUUUUAUCAGCAUCUGUGACGUGUGGCUGCAGCUCUUCUCUCGGGACCAGGCCUAUGCCAUCAACCUGGCUGCUGUGGGCACCAUGGCCUUCGGCUGCACAGGUAGGAACUGGGGCCCAAGGGGGAGGCCCUGAGUGCCCACUUCCAACCCCAUCCCACCCCAGCCCUGGUCUCCU
This 452-nucleotide long non-coding RNA is filed under the name Pan troglodytes (chimpanzee). RNAcentral describes it as "lncRNA (ENSPTRG00000053459.1)". The record is from RNAcentral. Lineage: Eukaryota; Metazoa; Chordata; Mammalia; Primates; Hominidae.